RNAcentral lists this ribosomal RNA (327 nucleotides) under Triticum aestivum (bread wheat). Its description in RNAcentral is "partial small subunit ribosomal RNA". The record is from RNAcentral. Lineage: Eukaryota; Viridiplantae; Streptophyta; Magnoliopsida; Poales; Poaceae.
AUGUCUUCCUCCUCCGGCGCAUCUCACCCUAGCCUCAGUGGGCAGGUCAUUGAGAAACUCUCCCGCACGAACUAAGUGAUAUGGCGCACACAGAUCACGCCGCAGUUGCGUGGCGCCGGUGUCUUCAACUACGUUGACGGCACCUUGCCGGAGCCGGCCAAGAUUCUCGCCGCCAAGGACAAGGACGGCAAGGAGACUUUCGAGCCCAACCCUCUCCACCCCAUCUGGGUCAAGGAGGAUCAGCAGGUGCUCGGUUAUCUGCUGAGCAACCUCUCCAAGGAGGUGCUCGUCACGGUGACCACAGUCACCACAGCGCAGGCGCUCUAG